UAGAGUUUGAUCAUGGCUCAGAACGAACGCUGGCGGCAGGCUUAACACAUGCAAGUCGAACGCUCGUAGCAAUACGGGAGUGGCAGACGGGUGAGUAACGCGUGGGAACAUACCCUCCGGUUCGGAAUAGCUCAGGGAAACUUGGAUUAAUACCGGAUACGGCCGAGAGGCGAAAGAUUUAUCGCCGGAGGAUUGGCCCGCGUUCGAUUAGCUUGUUGGUGAGGUAACGGCUCACCAAGGCGAUGAUCGAUAGCUGGUCUGAGAGGAUGAUCAGCCACAUUGGGACUGAGACACGGCCCAAACUCCUACGGGAGGCAGCAGUGGGGAAUAUUGGACAAUGGGCGCAAGCCUGAUCCAGCCAUGCCGCGUGAGUGAUGAAGGCCUUAGGGUUGUAAAGCUCUUUCGCUCGGGACGAUAAUGACGGUACCGAGAUAAGAAGCCCCGGCUAACUUCGUGCCAGCCGCCGCGGUAAUUC
This 475-nucleotide ribosomal RNA is filed under the name uncultured Methylocella sp. Its description in RNAcentral is "bacterial SSU rRNA". It matches the Rfam family "Bacterial small subunit ribosomal RNA", at positions 1 to 526 of the family's 1533-position model. The record is from RNAcentral. Lineage: Bacteria; Pseudomonadati; Pseudomonadota; Alphaproteobacteria; Hyphomicrobiales; Beijerinckiaceae.